Molecule: ribosomal RNA, 430 nt
Filed under: Pseudomonadota bacterium
Lineage: Bacteria; Pseudomonadati; Pseudomonadota
Description: Proteobacteria bacterium partial 16S ribosomal RNA
Rfam family: Bacterial small subunit ribosomal RNA
Source: RNAcentral
UGGGGAAUAUUGGACAAUGGGGGGAAUCCUGAUCCAGCCAUGCCGCGUGUGUGAAGAAGGCCUUAUGGUUGUAAAGUAUUUUAAGCGAGGAGGAGGGUCCGGGUAUUAAUACUACCAGGUACCGGACGUUAUUCGCAGAAUAAGCACCGGCUAACUCUGGCCCGCCAGCUGCGGUAAUACUGAGGGUGCGAGCGUUAAUUGGAUUUACUGGGCGUAAACCGUGCGUAGGCGGCUAAUUGAGUCGGAUGUGAAAUCCCCGAGCUUAACUUGGGAAUUGCAUUCGAUACUGGUUAGCUAGAGUGUGGGAGAGGAUGGUAGAAUUCCAGGUGUAGCGGUGAAAUGCGUAGAGAUCUGGAGGAAUACCGAUGGCGAAGGCAGCCAUCUGGCCUAACACUGACGCUGAGGUACGAAAGCAUGGGGAGCAAACAAG